Molecule: unclassified non-coding RNA, 336 nt
Filed under: soil metagenome
Description: partial contains 5.8S ribosomal RNA, internal transcribed spacer 2, and large subunit ribosomal RNA
Rfam family: 5.8S ribosomal RNA (bases 1-120)
Source: RNAcentral
GAUGAAGAACGUAGCGAAAUGCGAUAAGUAGUGUGAAUUGCAGAAUUCAGUGAAUCAUCGAAUCUUUGAACGCACAUUGCGCCCCUUGGUAUUCCAUGGGGCAUGCCUGUUCGAGCGUCAUUUGUACCUUCAAGCUUUGCUUGGUGUUGGGUGUUUGUCUCGCCUUUGCGUGUAGACUCGCCUUAAAAUAAUUGGCAGCCGGCGUAUUGAUUUCGGAGCGCAGUACAUCUCGCGCUUUGCACUCAUAACGACAGCGUCCAAGAGUACAUUUUACACUCUUGACCUCGGAUCAGGUAGGGAUACCCGCUGAACUUAAGCAUAUCAAUAAGCGGAGGA